ACUGACUGGAAACUAGCAGAGACUUAUGCCCCGGUGCACCACCCCAGGAGUCCAACAGCACAGAAAGAAAACACUGAGCUUAGAGCGCACCCCUGAGUGUCCAAGUAAAGACAAAAACGUAUGAGGAAUCUGCUGCUGGGAUGCUGGCUGUGAUGACAGAGGAGUCUUGCUGGUCUCCUUAACUUUCUAAGUUUGUGAAAACAAACUCUUUUGCGAUUUCUUAUUCACAGACUUUAGGAUUAUAUGGAUAUAAGCAGCUGACUUUGAGUGAAUGCAUGUGUGGACACUUAUAGACUAAGAAGAUGAGUUCCAGAAGGCUGAUGAACUAUUCGCUCUCGUGUGAUGGAAGGGGUUACUACGGUGGCAGUGAUAUCAGCUCUCAGAAUAGAAGGGCUGGGUUAGGAGCUACCUGAGCAGUGUUCGAUCUGAAAGCAGGAGCAGUGUCAUGGCCCAAUUAACUGUGGAGAUACAGCCAACAUUUGAGACCACAUUAAAAUCCAAAGCUGUGUCUGAAGACACUGUGUGAUCUCAGGUAUCCCAUCAAAGCAAGUGAAUCCAUUAUGGAACAUUAUUAAAGUUGUCCAAACUUCCUGUUCACCAGUCUUUAAUUUUAACGGUCACGUUUACAGGGUACCCAGUCCCUGAGGUGAUAUGGUACAAAGAUGAUAUACAGCUGGACCGAUACUGUGGCCUUCCCAAAUAUGAAAUUUCACGUGAUGACAAGACACACACACUCCAAAUAUACAACUGUACUCUGGAGGAUGCUGCAAUUUACCAAGCAUCAG
RNAcentral lists this long non-coding RNA (785 nucleotides) under Sinocyclocheilus anshuiensis. Its description in RNAcentral is "lncRNA (ENSSANG00000026719.1)". The record is from RNAcentral. Lineage: Eukaryota; Metazoa; Chordata; Actinopteri; Cypriniformes; Cyprinidae.